RNAcentral lists this ribosomal RNA (994 nucleotides) under Hydnophora exesa. Its description in RNAcentral is "eukaryotic LSU rRNA". The stretch from base 730 to 994 matches the Rfam family "Eukaryotic large subunit ribosomal RNA", at positions 1 to 261 of the family's 3401-position model. Lineage: Eukaryota; Metazoa; Cnidaria; Anthozoa; Scleractinia; Merulinidae. The record is from RNAcentral.
CUGGCGCCGAUACUCUGGCAACAGAGUGUGGGAUGCUGGAAAGUUGGUCAAACUUGAUCAUUUAGAGGAAGUAAAAGUCGUAACAAGGUUUCCGUAGGUGAACAUGCGGAAGGAUCAGUACUGAUGUUGAAAAAACAAUCAACAAAAGCUACACUGUGUGAACCGUGCCAAACCUUUUUGAAGGGUCGGCCUGGGGGGCCGUUAAAUGGCGAUCGGAGGCGAGGCCACGGUGAUGUCUCGCAGCCGCUUCGCCUGCCCCGGCCUUGUUUUUCCACGUACACUUUUUUGUGGUCUGAUUGAUGAAAAAAUAGAUAUGAGAGAGACAACUUUUGACGGUGGAUCUCUUGGCUCACGCAUCGAUGAAGAACGCAGCCAGCUGUGAUAAGUAGUGUAAAUUGCAGAAUUCAGUGAAUCAUCGAAUCUUUGAACGCAAAUGGCGCUCUUGGGUUCUCCCAGGAGCGUGUCUGUCUGAGUGUCGGAUUGUCAUCCAUCGCGGGCGUUGUGCGCUUGCGCGCGCGCCGGCGGCGUGUGGGGCGUCACGGCCUUGUUGCAACAGGGCCGUGUCCCUCGAAGGGCAGAGAGACUCUCUGUGGUCGGGGGCUUGUUUUCCCGCAGCGCAGCAGCGGAGGCUAAAAGUGUCAGCACUCCUUCGCGCGCUUGCGGGAUCCCCGCCGCGCCAGAGUCGCGUAGUAGGCGAACGAAAGCAAGCCAUUGCUAUCAUCCUCUUCUUGACCUCAGAUCAGGCAAGGCUACCCGCUGAAUUUAAGCAUAUUAAUAAGCGGAGGAAAAGAAACUAACAAGGAUUCCCUCAGUAACGGCGAGUGAAGCGGGAAGAGCUCAAAUUUGAAAUCUCCGAUGCCUGCAUCGGCGAGUUGUAGUUGCGAGAAGCACUUUCUAGGCGGAUCGGCGGUGCCUAAGUUGCUUGGAACAGCACGUCGCAGAGGGUGACAACCCCGUCUGUGGCGCCGCCGGCCGCUGACGAUGCGCUUUCGAA